AGGCUCCUACGGGACGCAGCAGUGAGGAAUAUUGGUCAAUGGGCGCGAGCCUGAACCAGCCAAGUCGCGUGAGGGAUGACGGCCCUACGGGUUGUAAACCUCUUUUGCCGGGGAGCAAGGGCGGGGACGUGUCCCGGCCCGGAGAGUACCCGGAGAAAAAGCAUCGGCUAACUCCGUGCCAGCAGCCGCGGUAAUACGGAGGAUGCGAGCGUUAUCCGGAUUUAUUGGGUUUAAAGGGUGCGUAGGCGGGCUUUUAAGUCAGCGGUAAAAAUUCGGGGCUCAACCCCGUCCGGCCGUUGAAACUG
This 305-nucleotide ribosomal RNA is filed under the name uncultured bacterium. RNAcentral's name for it is "bacterial SSU rRNA". It matches the Rfam family "Bacterial small subunit ribosomal RNA", at positions 333 to 635 of the family's 1533-position model. The record is from RNAcentral.